Molecule: ribosomal RNA, 261 nt
Filed under: Staphylococcus aureus
Lineage: Bacteria; Bacillati; Bacillota; Bacilli; Caryophanales; Staphylococcaceae
Description: partial 16S ribosomal RNA
Rfam family: Bacterial small subunit ribosomal RNA
Source: RNAcentral
UUUAUGGAGAGUUUGAUCCUGGCUCAGGAUGAACGCUGGCGGCGUGCCUAAUACAUGCAAGUCGAGCGAACGGACGAGAAGCUUGCUUCUCUGAUGUUAGCGGCGGACGGGUGAGUAACACGUGGAUAACCUACCUAUAAGACUGGGAUAACUUCGGGAAACCGGAGCUAAUACCGGAUAAUAUUUUGAACCGCAUGGUUCAAAAGUGAAAGACGGUCUUGCUGUCACUUAUAGAUGGAUCCGCGCUGCAUUAGCUAGUUG